RNAcentral lists this long non-coding RNA (982 nucleotides) under Olea europaea subsp. europaea. Lineage: Eukaryota; Viridiplantae; Streptophyta; Magnoliopsida; Lamiales; Oleaceae. The record is from RNAcentral.
UCUCUCGGUGCUAUAGUAAUUCACUAUGAUGACAAAAUAUUUGGAAGAGAAAUUAUCAAUUCUAUCUCCUCUAACCUUUCUCUCUAUUUGAUGAUAAUAUAUAAAACCCAAGGACUGCUCUUUAUCUAUAAAAUGAAUUAGGGGAAAAUUAAAUUUUACAUUGACUCGUAUUCCUUCAAGGAAUUUUAUAAGGACUCAUAUUGAACUUAAUUAAAAUUUUCAUCCAAGGGGCUCCGCCCCUACCCCGGGCCUCCCAUUCCAACCCACACGGCAACCUUAUUGCGGAGUCAAUCCACGACCAGCUCCGUGAAAAUGGCAAUAAUUAGGCUCCAUAGCUUAACGUCGACAAUACUCCUCUUUUGCUUCACAAUUUUCACAAGAUGGUUUCGACCAAUGCAGAUAUAUGCUGUCAAUUUCGUGUCUCCCAGUAACUACAGUGAUCGGAACAUAUGAGUGCUGUAUAUCUUAAAGCAUGAUGAAUUUUCAGACAAGUUGCUAAGCAAAUCAGAAGAAGAAAUUACUAGGAUCAUGAAGGUAUGUAUAACUGAUACGCUGGAAAGAGAAACUAAAUAAUGUGUAUCCCAUCCCAAAUAUUUUAAGUAUCUCGAAUAAGGAUAUUGGUGAGUUUACACUAAGAGACUUCCCUGCGAGGCAGGAUGUUGCCAUGAAAUCAUUUAUAAAUAUCAGCUGUACUGUGUAAUCAAGUUUCCAUAUCAAUACUUUCGCUAAUACAGGUACCAGGUCACCGGAAAUUGAAGCUCAAACUCGAUCUUGUUGCAUUUGCAGCAUGAUAAGCCACGAUGUUCUGGUUGAUGACCCUUUACUAGGAAAAGGUAACUUAAAGACUGGACCUUACUUCCCACAACUCGUUGGCCGAGACUCUAGAUUUUGGGAGAAUGAAGUAAGGAGUCUAUUAAUGUUUUUAGGAAAACUGUCUGUAAAUUACUUCUAAAACCCAUCUUUCCCGGAUCAUGUUCUUGUU